AUUGAACGCUGGCGGCAUGCUUUAUACAUGCAAGUCGAACGGCAGCGCGGGGCAACCUGGCGGCGGGUGGCGAACGGGUGGGUAAUAUAUCGGAACGUACCCAGAAGGGUGGGGUAACGUAGCGAAAGGUACGCUAAUACCGCAUACGAUCUACGCAUGAAAGGAGGGGACAGCAAGGACAUAUGCUAUUGGAGCGGCCGAUAGCUGAUUAGCUAGUUGGUGAGGUAAAGGCUCAGCAAGGGGACGAUCAGUAGCUGGUCUGAGAGGGCGACCGGCCACAGUGGCUCUGACACACGGUCCAGACUCCUACGGGAGGCCGCAGUGGGGACUUUUGGAAAAUGGGCGAAAGCCUGCUCCAGCCAUGCCGCGUGAGUGAAGAAGGCCUUCGGGUUGAAACGCUCUUUUGUCAGGGAAGAAACGGUAGAGGCUAAUAUCCCAUGCUAAGGCCGGUACCUGCAGAAUAAGCACCGGUUAACUCCGU
Molecule: ribosomal RNA, 481 nt
Filed under: uncultured bacterium
Lineage: Bacteria
Description: partial 16S ribosomal RNA
Rfam family: Bacterial small subunit ribosomal RNA
Source: RNAcentral